Molecule: transfer RNA, 85 nt
Filed under: Felis catus (domestic cat)
Lineage: Eukaryota; Metazoa; Chordata; Mammalia; Carnivora; Felidae
Rfam family: tRNA
About the family: Transfer RNA (tRNA) molecules are approximately 80 nucleotides in length.
Source: Rfam by way of RNAcentral
GCCUGGGUGGCUCAGUCGGUUGAGCGUCCGACUUCAGCUCAGGUCACGAUCUCACGGUUUGUGAGUUCGAGCCCCACAUCAGGCU